UACAGAGGUGGCAAGCGUUGUUCGGAAUUACUGGGCGUAAAGGGCGCGUAGGUGGCCUUCUUAGUCAGACGUGAAAUCCCCAGGCUUAACCUGGGAACUGCGUCUGAUACUGGAAGGCUCGAGUUCGGGAGAGGAAUGUGGAAUUCCAGGUGUAGCGGUGAAAUGCGUAGAUAUCUGGAGGAACACCGGUGGCGAAGGCGGCAUUCUGGACCGAAACUGACGCUGAGGCGCGAAAGCCAGGGGAGCAAACGGG
Molecule: ribosomal RNA, 253 nt
Filed under: uncultured bacterium
Lineage: Bacteria
Description: partial 16S ribosomal RNA
Rfam family: Bacterial small subunit ribosomal RNA
Source: RNAcentral